GAUGAACGCUGGCGGCGUGCCUAAUACAUGCCAGUCGAGCGAACAGACGAGGAGCUUGCUCCUCUGACGUUAGCGGCGGACGGGUGAGUAACACGUGGAUAACCUACCUAUAAGACUGGGAUAACUUCGGGAAACCGGAGCUAAUACCGGAUAAUAUAUUGAACCGCAUGGUUCAAUAGUGAAAGACGGUUUUGCUGUCACUUAUAGAUGGAUCCGCGCCGCAUUAGCUAGUUGGUAAGGUAACGGCUUACCAAGGCGACGAUGCGUAGCCGACCUGAGAGGGUGAUCGACCACACUGGAACUGAGACACGGUCCAGACUCCUACGGGAGGCAGCAGUAGGGAAUCUUCCGCAAUGGGCGAAAGCCUGACGGAGCAACGCCGCGUGAGUGAUGAAGGUCUUCGGAUCGUAAAACUCUGUUAUUAGGGAAGAACAAAUGUGUAAGUAACUAUGCACGUCUUGACGGUACCUAAUCAGAAAGCCACGGCUAACUACGUG
This 497-nucleotide ribosomal RNA is filed under the name uncultured bacterium. RNAcentral describes it as "partial 16S ribosomal RNA". It matches the Rfam family "Bacterial small subunit ribosomal RNA", at positions 28 to 507 of the family's 1533-position model. The record is from RNAcentral.